GGAAACUUGUCUCUGCUUUUGUUUGCUAACAGAUUACUUUGUUAAUUCCAAAGCUUUAGCAAGCACCUUGUUUUUCCAACAGAAUUUCAUUCAUCUGUUCUUGUUCUAUAUGAAUAUAUUUCUUCCGGUCACUGAGAGAUAGGACUUUGCUUUCACAUUCAUACAUUUUCCCCUGGCUAAUUAUUUGAAAUGUUUGACACCCCAGAUGUACAAACAGUCAUUGGCCUCUGUGGAGUUUGUUGGGCUGCACAUUGGCGAUGGAUUUAAAAAAUGCACUUGGACAUGUAUUGAAUCCAUAAAAGAAUGUAUUGACACUGCAUAUAGUUGGGCCUGAACUCUACUGCCCUUCGUAGUCAUUCACAUUGGCACAAAAAUCUAAACUGACUUCCAAAAUUUAAAGAUCAAUCUGUUAAAGAUCAUGCUACAAAAGAAAAAAAAUUAAUUAUAAUUUGACAAAUGGAAUUCCAGUUUGUAUUUUCAGACUUACCAUGAUUUUUUUUUUUUUUUUUGGGGGGGGGAAAGGUGAGGAGUGGGGAGGGAUGAAGGUUGUUGGUGGUGGGGUUUUAAUUUUCUUUUGCUUAGAUUUAGGUCCCUGGAAGAUUAGAAGAUUGUCUUCAAAGUGGUCUGUUUUGAUGGCAGUCUGAAACAAUCGAAGAGGGAAGAGAAUCAGAAAAUGGACAAGAAUGAGUGAGCAUCUGGCUUUGGAGGCAGCCAUUUUAAAAACAAAACAAAACAAAACAAAAAGCUGGCCAGGAACUUUGGCUUGUUCCUACCUGUUAAGAUGGUCCUUCUCAGCUCCAGACAUGCCAGACCUUAGAAGGACUAAUACGUCACAAGUGUAGUAUAAACCACGCACUGUCUUCAAAGAACCCAAGUAGGUAAGCUCUAUGUGCUGAAAGCACAAUAUUAAAUCAAAUGUCAAAACUGCCUAAAAUGCUGCUGAAACUGUUGAAAGCUCCAAGAGGUUUUUUGAAGAGCUGACAGCUCUAUCUGAAGAUAAGAUUUAAC
RNAcentral lists this long non-coding RNA (1008 nucleotides) under Anser brachyrhynchus (Pink-footed goose). RNAcentral's name for it is "lncRNA (ENSABRG00000005847.1)". Lineage: Eukaryota; Metazoa; Chordata; Aves; Anseriformes; Anatidae. The record is from RNAcentral.